GUGAUCGGCCACACUGGAACUGAAACACGGUCCAGACUCCUACAGGAGGCAGCAGUAGGGAAUCUUCCGCAAUGGGCGAAAGCCUGACGGAGCAACGCCGCGUGAGUGAUGAAGGUCUUCGGAUCGUAAAACUCUGUUAUUAKGGAAGAACAUACGUGUAAGUAACUAUGCACGUCUUGACGGUACCUAAUCAGAAAGCCACGGCUAACUACGUGCCAGCAGCCGCGGUAAUACGUARGUGGCAAGCGUUAUCCGGAAUUAUUGGGCGUAAAGCGCGCGUAGGCGGUUUUUUAAGUCUGAUGUGAAAGCUCACGGCUCAACCGUGGAGGGUCAUUGGAAACUGGAAAACUUGAGUGCAGAAGAGGAAAGUGGAAUUCCAUGUGUAGCGGUGAAAUGCGCAGAGAUAUGGAGGAACACCAGUGGCGAAGGCGACUUUCUGGUCUGUAACUGACGCUGAUGUGCGAAAGCGUGGGGAUCAAACAGGAUUAGAUACCCUGGUAGUCCACGCCGUAACGAUGAGUGCUAAGUGUUAGGGGGUUUCCGCCCCUUAAUGCUGCAGCUAACGCAUUAAGCACUCCGCCUGGGGAGUACGACCGCAAGGUUGAAAAUCAAAGGAAUUGACGGGGACCCGCACCAGCGGUGGAGCCUGUGGUUUAAUUUGAAGCAACGGGAAGAACCUUACCAAAUCUUGACAUCCUUUGACAACUCUAGAGAUAGAGCCUUCCCCUUCGGGGGACAAAGUGACAGGUGGUGCAUGGUUGUCGUCAGCUCGUGUCGUGAGAUGUUGGGUUAAGUCCCGCAACGAGCGCAACCCUUAAGCUUAGUUGC
This 828-nucleotide ribosomal RNA is filed under the name Staphylococcus haemolyticus. RNAcentral describes it as "bacterial SSU rRNA". It matches the Rfam family "Bacterial small subunit ribosomal RNA", at positions 300 to 1118 of the family's 1533-position model. The record is from RNAcentral. Lineage: Bacteria; Bacillati; Bacillota; Bacilli; Caryophanales; Staphylococcaceae.